Molecule: ribosomal RNA, 253 nt
Filed under: uncultured bacterium
Lineage: Bacteria
Description: partial 16S ribosomal RNA
Rfam family: Bacterial small subunit ribosomal RNA
Source: RNAcentral
CACGUAGGGGGCAAGCGUUGUCCGGAUUUAUUGGGCGUAAAGAGCUCGUAGGCGGUUCGGUAAGUCGGGUGUGAAACCUCCAGGCUCAACCUGGAGAGGCCACCUGAUACUGCUGUGACUCGAGUCCGGUAGGGGAGCGUGGAAUUCCUGGUGUAGCGGUGAAAUGCGCAGAUAUCAGGAGGAAGACCAGUGGCGAAGGCGAAUCUCUGGACAGUACUGACACUGAGGCACGAAGGCCAGGGGAGCAAACGGG